RNAcentral lists this ribosomal RNA (698 nucleotides) under uncultured Lactobacillus sp. RNAcentral describes it as "bacterial SSU rRNA". It matches the Rfam family "Bacterial small subunit ribosomal RNA", at positions 57 to 723 of the family's 1533-position model. Lineage: Bacteria; Bacillati; Bacillota; Bacilli; Lactobacillales; Lactobacillaceae. The record is from RNAcentral.
GCAAGUCGAACGAAACUUCUUUAUCACCGAGUGCUUGCACUCACCGAUAAAGAGUUGAGUGGCGAACGGGUGAGUAACACGUGGGCAACCUGCCCAAAAGAGGGGGAUAACACUUGGAAACAGGUGCUAAUACCGCAUAACCAUAGUUACCGCAUGGUAACUAUGUAAAAGGUGGCUAUGCUACCGCUUUUGGAUGGGCCCGCGGCGCAUUAGCUAGUUGGUGGGGUAAAGGCUUACCAAGGCAAUGAUGCGUAGCCGAACUGAGAGGUUGAUCGGCCACAUUGGGACUGAGACACGGCCCAAACUCCUACGGGAGGCAGCAGUAGGGAAUCUUCCACAAUGGGCGAAAGCCUGAUGGAGCAACGCCGCGUGGGUGAAGAAGGUCUUCGGAUCGUAAAACCCUGUUGUUAGAGAAGAAAGUGCGUGAGAGUAACUGUUCACGUUUCGACGGUAUCUAACCAGAAAGCCACGGCUAACUACGUGCCAGCAGCCGCGGUAAUACGUAGGUGGCAAGCGUUAUCCGGAUUUAUUGGGCGUAAAGGGAACGCAGGCGGUCUUUAAGUCUGAUGUGAAAGCCUUCGGCUUAACCGGAGUAGUGCAUUGGAAACUGGGAGACUUGAGUGCAGAAGAGGAGAGUGGAACUCCAUGUGUAGCGGUGAAAUGCGUAGAUAUAUGGAAGAACACCAGUGGCGAAAGCG